This 311-nucleotide unclassified non-coding RNA is filed under the name Hevea brasiliensis (rubber tree). The record is from RNAcentral. Lineage: Eukaryota; Viridiplantae; Streptophyta; Magnoliopsida; Malpighiales; Euphorbiaceae.
CUCUCCAGCAAAUUUUUAUUUUUUAUUUUCCUUUUCUGUCAAAAACACCUCCUUUCGACACCUCUCGCUUUGUUCCGUUUGUCUCUUUCAAAUGAACCCGCAAAAUCCACCCACCCUUGCACAUGCUGUUCUGCUUCCUUUCUCUUUGCCUCUAUGAUUUUUCUCCCAACGCCUGUCCCUUUCCUAUUCUAAUUUCACAUUUUCUCCUCUUGUUUUAGCCUUUAUUAUCUUCAAUCUCAACUGGGUUUUCUUCUAUUUUGUGCUGAUUUCUAUUCCAAUUUCUAGGGUUUUCUGUUUUUCUCUUAACUUCU